ACAGGUGAUGAAAUUUCCAAUAAACAUUCGCAGUUUUCACGGAGCGACAUCGAACCCAAUCUUGUCGCAAAUGACGGCCAUAGUCCUUCCUUUGGAUGUCUGAUGUU
Molecule: small nucleolar RNA, 107 nt
Organism: Schizosaccharomyces osmophilus
Lineage: Eukaryota; Fungi; Ascomycota; Schizosaccharomycetes; Schizosaccharomycetales; Schizosaccharomycetaceae
Source: RefSeq, a predicted model, not a curated record